RNAcentral lists this ribosomal RNA (118 nucleotides) under Pteropus alecto (black flying fox). The record is from RNAcentral. Lineage: Eukaryota; Metazoa; Chordata; Mammalia; Chiroptera; Pteropodidae.
GUCUAUGGCCAUGCCACCCUGAACGAGCCUGAUUUCAUUUGAUCUCGGAAGCUAAGCAGGGUCGGGCCUGGUUAGUACUUGAUGGGAGACCACCUAGGAAGACCAGGUGCUGUAGGCG